Molecule: RNase P RNA, 337 nt
Filed under: Fervidobacterium sp.
Lineage: Bacteria; Thermotogati; Thermotogota; Thermotogae; Thermotogales; Fervidobacteriaceae
Description: RNase P RNA component class A
Rfam family: Bacterial RNase P class A
About the family: Ribonuclease P (RNase P) is a ubiquitous endoribonuclease, found in archaea, bacteria and eukarya as well as chloroplasts and mitochondria.
Source: RNAcentral
GGAGAAGGGCGGACAGGCGCAGACGGUCGCACAAGGUCGUACUGAGGAAAGUCCGGACUCCGUGGGCAGGAUGCUCGCUAACGGCGAGGUGGCGUGAGCCAUGGAAGGGCCAUAGAAACGAAAACCGCCCGAAAGCUUAGGUUCUCUUAAGCGAGUAGGGCAAGGAUGGAAAGGUGAGGUAAGAGCUCACCAGCAGUGCAGUGAUACACUGGCUUGGUAACCCACAUCCGGAGCAAGGCCAAGCAGGGGUUGGGUCGCUCUACCCUCAUUCCCCGGGUAGGCCGCAUAGACAGAUGCCUGUCUAUUACAGAAUCCGGCUUAUAGCCCUUCUCCGUAU